Molecule: ribosomal RNA, 491 nt
Filed under: uncultured bacterium
Lineage: Bacteria
Description: partial 16S ribosomal RNA
Rfam family: Bacterial small subunit ribosomal RNA
Source: RNAcentral
GUGCACGCUGGCGGUAGGCCUAACACAUGCAAGUCGAACGGCAGCACCGUAAGAGCUUGCUCUUACGGGUGGCGAGUGGCGGACGGGUGAGGAAUACAUCGGAAUCUACUUUUUCGUGGGGGAUAACGCAGGGAAACUUACGCUAAUACCGCAUACGACCUACGGGUGAAAGCAGGGGAUCUUCGGACCUUGCGCGAUUGAAUGAGCCGAUGUCGGAUUAGCUAGUUGGCGGGGUAAAGGCCCACCAAGGCGACGAUCCGUAGCUGGUCUGAGAGGAUGAUCAGCCACACUGGAACUGAGACACGGUCCAGACUCCUACGGGAGGCAGCAGUGGGGAAUAUUGGACAAUGGGCGCAAGCCUGAUCCAGCCAUACCGCGUGGGUGAAGAAGGCCUUCGGGUUGUAAAGCCCUUUUGUUGGGAAAGAAAAGCAGCAGGUUAAUACCCCGCUGUUCUGACGGUACCCAAAGAAUAAGCACCGGCUAACUUCGUG